GACGAACGCUGGCGGCGUGCUUAACACAUGCAAGUCGAGCGGUAAGGCCCUUUCGGGGGUACACGAGCGGCGAACGGGUGAGUAACACGUGGGUGACCUGCCCUCAGCUCUGGGAUAAGCCUGGGAAACCGGGUCUAAUACUGGAUAUGACUCCAUGACGCAUGUUGUGGGGUGGAAAGCCUUGUGCGGCUGAGGAUGGGCCCGCGGCCUAUCAGCUUGUUGGUGGGGUGANGGCCUACCAAGGCGACGACGGGUAGCCGGCCUGAGAGGGCGACCGGCCACACUGGGACUGAGACACGGCCCAGACUCCUACGGGAGGCAGCAGUGGGGAAUCUUGCGCAAUGAGCGAAAGCCUGACGCAGCGACGCCGCGUGAGGGAUGACGGCCU
This 388-nucleotide ribosomal RNA is filed under the name uncultured bacterium. Its description in RNAcentral is "bacterial SSU rRNA". It matches the Rfam family "Bacterial small subunit ribosomal RNA", at positions 28 to 417 of the family's 1533-position model. The record is from RNAcentral.